UCUGAUGUUUUGUACUAGAAUUCAAGGAGGGGAGCUAGAGUCACUGCACAGAAGUUCAUGUGCAGUUCUGAUCAGACUCAGAUGAAUUUGUGCAGCCAGAAAAGCUGGUGGAUGUCAGCAGGUCAAAGGUGUUGAGUGAGGGAGCCAGGAAGGAACAGGAACGUCAGCAACACGGCUUUAUUAUUAGCAAGUUUUAAUUGUUUCCAACUCUCCACUAAUUUGAAAAACAGGGCAACCUACUUAAUGACUUAAUUAUUUCUGUCAUUUGCUAUUUCUCUUUCCCUGGGAUGGAUUCUGACAGCAGAGGUAUGGCCAACUGGACACUGUGACUUUUUUUGUUUUUUGUUUUUUUUCACAUCAGAGAAGACAGAGAUGGAGACUCCCAUGUAUGCUGUUUUUUUAAAUUGUUAUUACUAUUAUUUUGUUUGUUUUGUUUGCACCCACAGCGUGUGUAAUUUCCUGGGUCAGGGAUGGAACCCUCACCACAGCAGUGACACCACCAGAUCCUUAACUGCUAGGCCACCAGGGAACUGCUGGCCUUAUUUUUUUAUUUUUAUUUUUUUUUAACGACCACACUUGUGGCAUAUGAUAGUUCUUAGGCUAGGGGCCAAAUUAGAGCUGCUGCUGAAGACUCUGCCAGAGCCACAGCAACACCAGAUCUGAGCCACAUCUGUGACCUAAUACCGCAGCUUGUGGGUAUUAGGUCACAGAGUGAGGCCAGGGAUUGAACCCACAUCCUCACGGACACUGUAUCAGGUUCUUAACCCACUGAGCCACAAUGGGAACUCCUAUUAUUAUUUUUAUAUUUUAUUUUUUGCUUUUUAGGUCUGAACCCAAGGCACAUGCAAGUUCCCAGGCUAGGGGUUGAAUAGGAGCCAAGGCUGCGGGACUACACCACAGCCACAGCAGUGUGGCAUCCGAGCUCUGUCUCUGACCCACACCACAGCUCAUGGCAAUGCUGGAUCCUUAACCAGCUGAGCAAGGCCAGGGAUUGAGCCCAAAUUCUCAUGGAUUCUAGUUGGGUUCAUCGGUUUCUGCUGAGCCAGGAUGGGAACUCUUUUUUUUUUUUNUUAGUGAACUCCUAUGUUUAUGUGAGGAUUUGGGUUUUCUCCUGGUCUUCUGUUUAACUUUUCAAGAAACUGCCACACUGUUUUCCAAAGCGACCACACCAUGGUACAAUCCCCUCCAACAAUGUAUGAGGGUUCCUGUUUAUAUCCUUGAAAAAAUUUAUUACUUGUUCUUUUGAUUAUACCCAUUCUUGUGGGUGUGACGUUGUAUCUCUUUGGUUCUUGACCUUUAAACGUUCUGCCUUUGUCCAGCUUGGAACAGAGAGGGGGUAAAACAGAGGGAUGACCUGCCCGCCCACAACCAUGGGACCAAUUAUCUGCCUGAACACACUCAGUGCUUCUGCAGCGUGGACUGAAUAAACUCAGGCAGGGUCUUAACAUCUUAGAGCCUCAGUUUUCCCUUCUGAAUAAUGGGGUCAAGAAGUCCCUUUCUACACAGGGUGAGAUAGGAACAUGUAUACAAGUGCCUUUUUCUUUGGUGCUUAAUACUGUUAGGUUUGCUGAGGGAGGAACGCACAAGGCCAAGUUGGUAAAGCAAAAGAGAUUUACUAAGGCGUCAGAGGGGGAUGGGCUGACCUCAUGAUGGUGUCAGCCUUGACUGUGAUGAGGUGCUAGGCGUAUAAAGGAUCUGUAGGGGGAAUCUGGCUGGAGUUCAUAGCUGGAAUGAUGAAGGAGGUAGGAGGGAAAGGUCAAGGGAGGGGUAGGGGGUCGAGUCCCAUGACAGAGGGCAGUUAAUCCUUGUAGGUGGCUGAUUUAUUAUACAGGCCAUUGUUUCUUGCUCCCCAACCUGAGCAUACACAUUCGGGAAAGGGUGUCCACAGCAGGUCUCCAAGGUGAACCACAUUUGGGCAGGGGGUGGGGGGGGUCUCUCGUCCUCCUGGGAACCUAUCAAAUACAUGUUGACGAACAGUUUUACUCCAUAAAUUUCCCUUCAGUGUGUUUUUGCUGUGAACAUCCUGGGUGCUGAUUUAACUUGUCCAGCAAAUAGGACUUCCUGGCAUUUUAAGCAUAACAGAAUCCUGCUAGACCCCUGGGCUGUCCCUCUCCUGUUCCUCUGGAUGCCACUCAGAUCUCUUCACGCCCGUCUCACUCACCAGCACUGAGCAAACAGGGAGCACCCUGCUCCUUUGCCUGCCUGUCAUCUGGGUCAUGAUCACUUGUUUAUCCAGUUUGACUUCCCUCUCAUCAUCUAUCCUGGCUUCUCUGCACUCUGACAAAAUCCGAUGCAUACGCUUGACCUCUCACCCUGGAUCCUGUUGGGGCAAAACCCAUUUUUAUCCUAGGCCUGACGACUGUGGUGAGGUGGCCUUUUCUUUCUGGGUGCGGCCACAUCUGCAGAAACGAGCUCCUGGGGGAGAUAAACAGGCUUCGCCUCCUGAGCCUGGGUUGCUAGCUGCUGUGGUAAUUGGCUUGGCAGUUGGCAGCGCACUCCCUGUAAAGGUUGUCCUUCAGCUGAUACUUGGUGAAAGCUGCAAGGCCAACCCCCUUGGGAGUUCCCGUAGACAGCAGCUGUCUUGUCUAAUUAAGGAGAGACAGGGAAAAGGUGUUUUGAAGGGAGACCUCUUAUCUCACAGAACAGUUGGCGGGAGCUGAACAUCUGGAGGGAAGAUAGGAAGGCCGAGGCAGAGGACAUAGUGGCCGCAGCCUGCAACACUUGGCAGAAAAUGCUUUGCUGGCAGUUGAGGAUAAUGUUUGAAUGUUUUCUAAGGACUUAAUGUAUCCUCUGUAGUCACCUGGGCAAUAGAUCCCAUGCUUAUUAAAACAUGUUGUGCACAACACAGCACUGUAAAGCAACCAUACUUCAGUAAAA
Molecule: long non-coding RNA, 2877 nt
Filed under: Sus scrofa (pig)
Lineage: Eukaryota; Metazoa; Chordata; Mammalia; Artiodactyla; Suidae
Description: lncRNA (ENSSSCG00015044524.1)
Source: RNAcentral